This 330-nucleotide ribosomal RNA is filed under the name uncultured bacterium. RNAcentral describes it as "bacterial SSU rRNA". It matches the Rfam family "Bacterial small subunit ribosomal RNA", at positions 32 to 354 of the family's 1533-position model. The record is from RNAcentral.
AAUCAACGCUGGCGGCGUGCCUCAGACAUGCAAGUCGAACGAUUAAAGCUCUCUUCGGAGAGUGUAUAGAGUGGCGCACGGGUGAGUAACACGUAAGUAAUCUACCCUCGAGUGGGGAAUAACAACCGGAAACGGUUGCUAAUACCGCAUAAUGCAGCGGCACCGCAAGGUGACAGUUGUUAAAGAUUUAUCGCUUGAGGAGGAGCUUGCGGCAGAUUAGCUAGUUGGUAGGGUAACGGCUUACCAAGGCUACGAUCUGUAACCGGUCUAAGAGGACGGUCGGUCACACUGACACUGAAUAACGGGUCAGACUCCUACGGGAGGCAGCAG